Molecule: small nuclear RNA, 186 nt
Organism: Salmo salar (Atlantic salmon)
Lineage: Eukaryota; Metazoa; Chordata; Actinopteri; Salmoniformes; Salmonidae
Product: U2 spliceosomal RNA
Source: RefSeq, a predicted model, not a curated record
AUCGCUUCUCGGCCUUUUGGCUCAGAUCAAGUGAGUAUCUGUUCUUAUCAGUUUAAUUGAUACGUCCCCCAUCGGGGACUACAUAUUAAAUGGAUUUUCCGAACAGGGGAGUCGGAAAUGGGGCUUGCUCCGUCCGCUCCACGCAUCGACCCGUAUUGUCAGUACCUCCGGAACGGUGCAACACUU